CAACCUGAGGCCAUUUCCCCUUGUCCUGCCACUUGUUACCCGGGACAAGAGACCAACCCCCACCUCCACACAACCUCCUCUGAGAUGUAACUCCAGGACAAGUGAUGCUGUAUCCCCUCACAACAUGCUGUCCCCACCUGCUGCUCAAGUUUAAGAGACAAACUUAAGAACAACACAACAGUUUUUCCACUGUUUCCACCUCACUGUGUUCCCACAGUGGUGCCUCACUGUGCAGCAGCACAGAUCAAUCCCCAUCCCAGGAAUAACUGAGCUGGAGGCAUCAGGACUGUCCCUCAGGAACAACAAGGGUGAUGGGGGGUGAUGUCUGCAGUUCAGCACAGUCCAGGACACAGGAGCAGCUCAAACACACCCUCAGCCAGGUCUCCAUGGCCUCCUGUCAGAGCAGCCUGACAGCAAAGCAAAGGAUCUGAAGAACUCGAACGAACCCACCUGGGGGAUGCAGAGCUUCCCAAAAGGACAUCUGAAACCUUGGGACGAGUCUUCUCCAAAAUGUAACAGUCAGGCCAGUGGGAUUGACCACAACUAAACUGCAUCAAGCAGGCUGAGGAAGUUGGGGCUGUUCAGCCUGAGGAAGAGGAGGUUGUGUGGAGACCUCACAUCAACCUUCCAGUGUCAGAAAGGGCUCCAAGGAAGCCAGAGAAGGACUGUUCAUCAGGAACUGGAGAGAUGGGACAAGGAGAAAUGGGUUCAAGCUGAAAGAGAGGAAAUUUAGGUGAGAUACAUGGAGGAAAUCCUUCCCUGUGAGGGUGGGGAGGCCCUGGCACAGGUUGCCCAGAGGAGCUGUGGCUGCCCCAUCCCUGGAAGUGUCCAAGGCCAGGUUGGACGGGGCUUGGAGCAACCUGGGCUGGUGGAAGGGGUGGAAUUGGAUGACCUUUAAGGUCCCUUUCAACCCAGACCAUUCCAUGAUUUUGUGAUCUGCACUGAGAUCCUGCUGCAGGAGAAAAAGAGCAUCUUCUGGGGCUGUAGAGCAACACCACCACCUGUAGGGUUUGUGGGAUAACUCUGCCUCCCUCUUCAGCCUGGCAAAGACCUGUUGGAGAAACAGGACAUUGUGACAGAGGAAAGCUGUGGAAAAACUGGAGAGUCCAAGACAAAUCAGGAGAGGAAGGCAAGAAAACCAGAUCUGUGGAAGACAGAUGUAUGAACUGGAUUAAUGAAGAGUGAAUGAAAACAUUGUGUCCCCAGGGACAGCUGCAAAGGGGAGCAGACCAGGGAUUCAAGUGCAUCAAAGACAGGACACAAUGGGUUCCAACUGAAAAAAAUAAGAUACGGGCUGGGAGGGCUGAGAAGAAUUGGAAACACUCAUGUGCCAGGGUGAAGGGCUGGACCAUGACAUGCUGUGAUCCUUCCCAACCCCUUCUGUCCUCCAAGCACUAACUCAGGUUAGAAAACUCAAUACUGCAAGUCUGUAAUCGGAAAAAAAGUCUUUACUAAAACCUGAAAUAAUUGGUUACAUAUUUUAAUCAUAAAAGAAGGAUGUUGGAAGCUGCAGAGAACUGAGGAUUCUACAGUUUGCAAAGCUACAUAUGGGAAGAAACUCCUCUUUAGCACACUCUGUGGGACUGUUCCGGUGCCAAACCACCCAGAGAUUGUAUUUUCCACCCCCACUCCUUCCAAACAAAACAAAGCCUGAUCCCAGGGCUGAAAGAACCUCCCAGAUCUCAGAGCUUGCAAUUAAAACCACCGGAGGUGACAGCGCUGGAAAUGCUUAAAAAUAAUCAGCCACCUUUGAGUUUUCUAA
Molecule: long non-coding RNA, 1762 nt
Organism: Pseudopipra pipra
Lineage: Eukaryota; Metazoa; Chordata; Aves; Passeriformes; Pipridae
Exons: 2
Source: RefSeq, a predicted model, not a curated record